RNA transcript from Mercenaria mercenaria, 6422 nucleotides. It is a transcript of the gene named mitochondrial import receptor subunit TOM70-like, with no coding region annotated. The record is from RefSeq and is a predicted model, not a curated record. The transcript has 14 exons. NCBI's taxonomy places the organism in Eukaryota, Metazoa, Mollusca, Bivalvia, Venerida, Veneridae.
GAACAAAUCAUUUCACAUGUGACCAACAUGGCUCCGAUCGAAGGCCGCAACGAGUCGUCAAUUUUUGAAGGUUGGGAAAAAUGGCAAAUAGCUCUUGCGGUUGGAGCACCUGUUUGCCUAGGACUUGCGGGACUUUGGUACUACAACAGAGUGAAAAAUUCGAAACCAUCUGGUGACGACUCGUCGAAAACGAAACCACCUGCCAAAGAAAAGGUCAAAACUUCAGAUUCUUCCAAACUGACAUCUGGAUCACAAAAGGAAAAUGAAAAUAAGGAUACACCACUUGGAAAAGCUAUAGAGUUCAAGAAUUCUGGAAAUAAAAACUUCAAACAAGGGAAGUAUGACGAGGCAAUAAAAUGUUACACACAAGCACUAGAAGUAUGCCCAGCUGAACAUACAACAGAAAUCUCAACAUUCUAUGCAAACAGAGCAGCGGCUUAUGAAAAAUUGAAAAAUCCAAAGCUGGUAUUAGAAAACUGCACAGAAGCAAUUAAAUUGAAUGGUAAAUACACAAAAGCUUUGAGUCGAAGAGCAAAUGCCGCAGAACAACUUGGAGAUUUACAGCUAUCUCUGGAAGAUGUUACAGCAGUGUGUAUAUUAGAAGGGUUCCAGAAUCAAUCAACACUGCAAAUGGCAGACAGGGUAUUGAAAAACCUCGGUAAAACCAAGGCAAAGGAGGCUUUAAAGAACAAGAAAACAGGGAUGCCGUCCAAACACUUCUUGAAGUCGUAUUUUGCCUCUUUCACAAAAGAUCCUGUCCAGGAAAUCUUCAAGAAAAACAAGGAAGAGAAACAGUCUAAUUUACCAGAACAAUCAGAUGAAGAAGUGAAGAUACUGAAUGUGCCAGAUUUAGGUGGUGCUGGGGACCAGCCAGGUGUUUCUGUUGUGAACGGGGAAUCAGAUUCAUCAGACAGUAGUUUUAGAAAAGCUUGUGAGAAAUUGGAGGCUGGAGAAUAUGAAGAAAUCAUUCCAUUGUGUAGACAAGAAAUAAGUGUUUCUCCACCCACCCAUCACUGUCAGCUGGCCCUUUUGCUGCGUGGAACCAUGUUCUGUCUAACUGCGCAGUCAGAUCAAGCAUUCAUGGACUUAGAUCAACUUUUGAAUGCUGAAAAUUUAGAUAAAAAGAUUAAAGUUAACGCAUUGAUAAAGCGAGGUAGUUUGUUUAUAACAAAGGAGCAACAGACUGAUGGACUGGCUGACUUUGCUCAUGCUGUGCGAAUAGACCCAAAUAAUUCUGAUAUUUAUCAUCACAGAGGACAUCAAAAUAUUCAGCUGGAUAGGCUAGAAGAUGCAAUAAAAGACUUUGAAUGCAGCAUUUCCUUAAACCCCGAUUUUCCUAAUUCAUACAUACAGAAAUCAUAUGCAGAACAUAGACGUGCAGCUGCGGAGCAGAGCACAGGGAAAUUAGAAAAAGCCAUCAAAUCUUACGAGGAAACACUAAAAAGAUUCCCACAAAAUGCUGAUGGUCAUGCUUUGUAUGCACAGGCAUUAUGUGACCUUGGAAGGUUUGAUGAUGCUGAUAAUGAAUUUGAAACAGCAAUUAAACUAGAACCAGACAAUGCUAAUACUUUAGUACAUAGAGCGUUGUUAAAGUUACAAUGGAAACAAAACAUAGAGGAACCUGUAGCAUUAAUUAAACAAGCAAUAGAUUUAGAUGACAAGUGUGAAUAUGCUUAUGAAAUCUUGGGAACUAUUGAAGUACAGAGAGGCGACAUGGUAAAUGCAGUGAAACUGUUUGAGAAAGCGAUAGAGUUGUGUCGAACCGAGACAGAGAUGUCACACCUGUUCUCGCUCCUCCAUGCUGCCAAGGCACAACUAAAAGCGGCACAAACACUUGGAAUACCUCUACCAGCUAAUUUUUCACCUAUAUAACUAUGGAAACAAAGAGAGUACUGAUUGCUUUCUCUAGAUGCAGAGUUGUGUGAAUAUGGUUAUUAGUAGUGGUAAAAGUGUUUGUUGUGAUAGAUAGCAGGGGAUUGAAUAUUUUCCUAACAACUGGGAAAUUUUUGUUGAAAAAAAUACAUACUUGAUGAGCUGUAUUGUUGCACACUGUAUUCAAGACUAUAUACAUGUAAGCUAUACUGACUGUGAUAGAGAUAGGUAUAUUUACGGAUCACAAGUUACACAGGUGUGGUAUCAAUGUUGUGUAACAAAUCCCAUUUGUUUAGCACUCAUUUGUUAUACACGUAUGUAGAAAUAAUGCAGUGUAUAAACUUUGUAGCAAAAUUGAAACUUAGUCUGAGGUUUUAAGAUAUGAGCUGUGCCAUGGGAAAACCAACAUAGUGGCUUUGCAACCAGCAUGGAUCCAGACCAGCCUGCGCAUCUGCGCAGUCUGGUCAAGAUCCAUGCUGUUCACUAAUGGUUUCUCUAAUUGCAGCAGGCUUUAAAAGCGAACAGCAUCCGCGCAGUCUUGUCUGGAUCCAUGCUGGUCGCAAACCCGCUAUGUUGGUUUUCUCAUGGCACAGCUCAUAUAUGUUUUGUGGCCUUUUUGUUUGUUACUGAUGUGUCAAGCUUAGAACUGAGAUGCUAUUUUUGUUUCUUAGAAUUUAUACUAGUAUUUUAAAGUAGAUGUUGUUUGCAAAACAUUAUGAGUUUGUUCCACUUUGAAAUCUAUUGUAAAUAGAUGAUUAUAUAUGAGAGAACAAAACAACAUUGGACCAUUUCAUUAGGCUGUAAAUAUAAGAUUUUACACCAAAAUGAUGUACAAUUUAUUAAACAUUUGUCAGUGUAGAAAUUGUAGCGUGUUUUUAUGAGGUGAAACUGAACUGUAUAGUGAUGAAUGAAUGUUUUAAAGUUCGUAAAUUUUCGUAAAAGUUUAUGAUUUCAUGCUAGAUUAAGCUAGUUUUGUGAAAUGUAUGGAUUGGAAGAAAAUCUAUGUGAAAUAUAUAGAGCUUGAUAAUCUAGUUUUAUAGCUGUAACUUAGAAAAACACAACUUCUCAAGUUUUGUUAAAAAGUAUUUUGGUAUUUAUAAAAAUGCUUUUUCACAAAUGUCCUAUCUGAGUAAGUAUAAGAAUGUUGCAUACUGCAACCCCCUUUUGUUGACAAUUGCACUGUUCAUCAUAACUUACUUUAUUGACAUUACAUUUUCAUAAAUACAUUGUUGAAAUUAAUAAAAUGAACAAUUUUGUAAACCUGAAUGGCCUGCUACAUUUAAACCCAAUGUUGCUUGUAAAAACUUGUAAAUCUACAUGCUUUAAAUGACGUUAGAUUUAUAUUUAACAAAUAUGUUUAGACCUUGAUGGGAAGUUGUAACGUUCUGGAUUUUGAAACCACAGACAGAAUGUGUGGAACUUUAAAAUUACAUUUCGUCUUGAAAGCUUGACAUUUAAUCAAUUAAUAUUUAUGUCAUCUUAACUGACUGGUCUGGUAUUGGGUGUACUUACGUUCUCCUUGUUUUAUUAUGCCCCCCUUCGAAGAAGGAAGGUUAUAUUGUUUUGCAGAUGUUCGUAGGUCGGUCUGUCAGAUGGUAUGUAGACCAAUCCGUUUCCAGAUGAUAACUCAAGAAUGCUUAGGCCUAGGAUCAUGAAAGUUGGUAGGGAGCGCAUUUCGUGUUCUGCGAGCUCUUGUAAUACAAUUAUAUUGCUCUAUACAUAAACACAUAAAACAAAAUGAAUUUUACUUGGAAUAUAUGCAUGUAAAGAAAGAGAAAUUUAUUUUUAUUUAUUUGAACCUUAUUUUGCUAGGUUUUAUUGGCAGUAAUAUUAAAGGUAAAAAAUGCUUUUAGAGAAUGAAAUGUAUUAUUUUGUGAAACGAUGAAGUGAGUAUUGAAAGCUUAUUUUUAUCUCGAUUUAGUAGAGCAAAGGAGGCAAUUAUCGACCCCUUAAAACCAUAAUCUAUCGUACAUAUUCUUACUUUCACUUUCGGAGACAAAGUGACACAUAUAUUUGAGACAAACUAUCAUUGGUCGAUUUCAACCAAUGAAAACACUUGUUACAUUACAGAAUAAGGUAUGGUCUAAUAUUCUGUCUUGUGACAUGUGUCUGCCAUUAUCGACCCACUUCUGCUAUUAUCGACCCCCUAGUUGUUUUUUUUUUUAAACUUUGAAAACACUGAAAAUCAAGCAUAAUAUUAUUAUUAACUUAAUAUUAAGUUAAUUUUUAUUUGUCCUUUAUUGUCAUAAUUGCAAUUUGAAAUUACGCAACUGAGCAUAUAAACAAAGCAUAACUUUACUACGAUUUCAUGGAAAAUAUUAUUUCAUGUGUGUUUUUUUUUUAUUUAUAAAUUUGGUCUUUCAUACUAUCACAGUUUCAUAUUUGGUCUUUUGACUGACAAAUUGUAAAUGUUAGAUAAUAGUUAUUUGUAAUAUAACAUUAGCCACACACAAGAGAUAAAUAAUUCAAACAUUCAAACAAAGUUGAUUAUCCAUUAUUAUCUACAGCCUUUACAACAUAUUUUAGCAUUCAAUUUUUAUACAUUUAAAAUUAACUUUUUUUAAGUCCUCUGGAGUCAACAAGUGAAGUUCUGGUUGCUUUGUACAUUUAAUAAGCCACCAUCCUGGGCAUUCAUCACAGCCUUUUCACUCAUUUGGCUUCCCAUUAGACUGACCACACCCCUGACAUUGGUCUAAGCUGUCUGCACUGUCCAUCAUCAUUUUGUCCAUCAGAGGAAUCGUCAAAAUCGUCAUAACUGUCACUAUCAUCAUAAAUGAUAGAAACAUCAGACUAUGACGAACUUUCAGAGACUCUGCGCUGUUUUUCUUUUUAUUUUAGGAGAUUUUUAAUCCUUGUGAUCAACUAAAAUGUGCAUUCAUAACUUUAUCAUGAGUCAUCACAGAACAUUAGGGUUUCUAACUGACCAAUCAGAGAGCUGCAUUUUAGAGUACCUGCCAGUUUCCACUUUGGUAUAACAAAGUAUAUUUACAAUGAACAUAAUAGUGACUUUAGAAAUAAAUAUCACACUAUUUUAAAAAUAAAAUCAAGAUUUGUCACUGCACAUGCUUCAGAUGAUGCUACAAACAACAAAACUUUGAAGUUUCAUUGAAAUGUUAUAUUGAUUUAAUACCUUUAUUUUAGUUAAAAGUUUGAGAUUUUACACUGAGAGUCUAUGAUAAAGUCCGAGUAAAAUGUAAUCAAUACCCAAGUGAAAUAAGUAUCAUUCCACAAUGUUUUGGACAUGUUAAAGUUAUGAAUUAAGUGCUUUUCUCAAAGCAACAAGAAAUUAUAUAAAUUUAAUAAAUUGGGGGUCGAUAAUAGCAGAAGGUCAUAUUUUCAAUCUGCUAUUAUCGACCCCCACAUAAUCUUUCCAGAAGUUGCAAGAGACUACAAAAAUGGCUGAUAGAAAUGAGUUCUAUAUGUGUAUAGUAGGAUUAAAUACAAAAUUAAACUGAUUCGAUCCAUAAAAACGGUAAAUUUGAUUUAACAGAAAGAUACCUACCUUAACGGACUAUGUAGUGGUUGGCACUGAAAUUUAUCUCAUGCAGUCACACUGUAUGUAAACAUACAAAAUGGCGCAUGAAGAAAAUUUGUGACGUAAAAAUGACAGUGAAUGACAUGAUCACAUGAUUUCUAGUAGUAAAUGUGAUUAAGUAUCAAUUAAGGGUGGGGGGUCGAUAAUAGAAGAGGGUCGAUAUUAGACUCCUUUGCUCUAGUAGGACCAAGAUUAUAGCAAUGAGUUGGAAACCAGUCUCUUGCUUGAGUUUUGUUUUCAAGACUGAGCUCAGAAUAAACCAGUCAGAUGCUAGAGGCUUGAGACUGGUUUACACUCUCAGUUUUAUAACCUUGCUUCCAGACUAAGAUUUAUUUACUGUCUGCUAGUACAUUAUAUCUGUUUAUUAUAUACCUAUAUAAAUUCUGUCAAAAAUACGACUUGUAUUUUACAAGUAAAUACAAACAGGCAGAAAAAAAUCCAUAUUGUACCUUUUGUAUUGUAAGUUACCGGACUACUUUCAUUUAAUAUGCAUGAACUGACACAGUUCUAUAAAUAGCGCACACAGAAACUACAUUGGUUCUGUUUUAACAUUGAUAAACUGUUAAAACAUUGAAGAUUUUGUUCGAUAACAAAAUGACAAAUGAAAAAGGUGGUAGUGCAUAAUAAAAGGGUCAUUAUAACAGUUGCUAGAUCCGGGAUUUUAUAUUCAGUUCUCUUGGAUUUUGCUAGGUCGGAUCACACUUGGCGCUUGCGCACCACAUGUUAUCUGACCUGGCAAAACUCAAUCGAGCCGAAUACAGCAUCCCAGAUCAAGCUACUGUUAUGAUAACUCUAUUAUAUCUGAUAGUACAGUUACUCUUCCUAGUUAAAAGUAAAUGUUGUAAAAGAGUAUGUUUAACCAUUGAAUUCUUUAUUAAUGAUUCAAGAAGUACUGAGUGUUAUCAGUGUUCUUGCAUAUCUUUUGUUGCUGUAUGUGUUUAUACGUGCUGAAUUGUUCAGUAAGUUAUGCCAAUACUUUGUUAUUGAAUAAUAAAACAGACAUGUGUAAAACUGA